AUCGAACGCUGGCGGCAUGCCUUACACAUGCAAGUCGAACGGCAGCACGGGAGCAAUCCUGGUGGCGAGUGGCGAACGGGUGAGUAAAGUAUCGGAACGUGCCCAGUCGUGGGGGAUAACGUAGCGAAAGUUACGCUAAUACCGCAUACGAUCUAUGGAUGAAAGCGGGGGAUCGCAAGACCUCGCGCGAUUGGAGCGGCCGAUAUCAGAUUAGGUAGUUGGUGGGGUAAAGGCUCACCAAGCCGACGAUCUGUAGCUGGUCUGAGAGGACGACCAGCCACACUGGGACUGAGACACGGCCCAGACUCCUACGGGAGGCAGCAGUGGGGAAUUUCGGACAAUGGGCGCAAGCCUGAUCCAGCCAUGCCGCGUGCAGGAUGAAGGCCUUCGGGUUGUAAACUGCUUUUGUACGGAACGAAAAGGUUUGGCCUAAUAAGCUGAGCUCAUGACGGUACCGUAAGAAUAAGCACCGGCUAACUACGUG
This 484-nucleotide ribosomal RNA is filed under the name uncultured bacterium. RNAcentral describes it as "bacterial SSU rRNA". It matches the Rfam family "Bacterial small subunit ribosomal RNA", at positions 30 to 507 of the family's 1533-position model. The record is from RNAcentral.